CGUACACCUGGUGGUUCAGUUGGAAGAGCAUGUAUGGAGAGACUCCAACGUGCACUGAGAAGCUGUUGCAUGCAAAGAUCUGAAGCUAACGGGAUGCACAAGUUAUCUAGGAAGUUGUUAUACAUGCAUGUGUUAGUGGCAUAAGAAUAGGUCGUGGCUUAGUUGGUUAGUGGAGCAGGUCGUGUGCGCAAGAUCCGGGCAUGUUGACCGGGCACCGUGUGCGAGCUAGCUACUUAAAGCGUUGUAAUCCAGUUUAUUAACAAAGGUGAAAAGUGUGAAGAAAACUUGUGGCUGUGUGACACAGCGCAAGGCCAAAAAAUCCUUUGUAUCUCGUCUGAUCUGUGAGACGCAGUAGAGGGAGGGGGGUUUCAGGGAGUUGAGAGAAUCAGCUCCAACAUUCAAGAGAAGGCUGUGCCAACAUUUGGUAUCAGAGCAAGGUUGUCGAUGUCGCGUGACUCUUCAGCGAGUGAAGCGUUGGUGUCGAGGGACUCGGCGGAGACGGGGGUGGCCGCAACGGCGCUCGCGGCGACGGCGGCAGCGGGGAAGCUUCCAUUCCCGCUGCUAACAAGGACGAACUACGCGGCGUGGGCGAUGAGGAUGAAGUACCUCUUGCGAGCCAACGGCGCAUGGGCUGUUGUUGAUCGCGAGGCGUCGUCCAUGGAGGUCGACAAGGGCAAGGAGGAGAUGGCCAUGACGAUCAUCUCCCAGUCGAUCGACGACACGACGCUGCUGCGUGUAGCGGAGAAGGAGACCGCGGCUGAUGUGUGGGCGGCGCUACGCUCCAUGCACGUUGGCGUCGAGCGCAUCCGGGAGGCGAGGAUUCAGUCCUUGCGCUCGGAGUUUGAUGGACUCAAGAUGGGUGAUGCGGAGUCCGUGGAUGAUUUCGCGGCGAGUUUCACAACGCUCGUGGGACGCAUCCGUGAGCUUGGUGAUCCAUUGGAGGAGAAGUACGUCGUGAAGAAGCUGCUGCGAGCUGUCUCCAACAAGUUCAUCCACGUUGCAUCGUCAAUUGCGUUGUUCAACGGCACCAACAAGAUGGCCAUGGAGGAGGCCAUUGGUUCACUCAAGGCACAUGAGGAGCUCGUCAAUGGGCGGGAGAUAGGACAAGAAGAAGAGCAUCUCCUCAUAGCAAGAGGGCAUGGCUCAAUGCAAGGACGCGGCCGUGGUGGCCGUGGCCGUGGCCGCAGACAUGGCCGUGAUGGAGGGCGCAGAGACAAGAGCGAGGUACAGUGUUAUAACUGUGAUGACUUUGGUCACUUUGCUUGGGAGUGUCCGGCGAAGAAGAAGGAGAAUGAGGAGAAGGCGCUGUUGGCUGGCUACGCCAGCGACGGACCGGCCCUUCUUUGAAGUUUCUGGGUGAAGAAUGGGCAUCAAGAUUAGGAGGUUGAAUGUUAGAUAUAAUCUUGAUGUCUUGUGUAUCUGCAUGUUUACUUUUGUAUUUGCAUGUAGUAGUGUGUUUGUGCAGAGAUACGUGCGAGGCGUACACCUGGUGGUUCAGUUGGAAGAGCAUGUAUGGAGAGACUCCAACAUGCAGUGAGAAGCUGUUGCAUGCAAAGAUCUGAAGCUAACGGGAUGCACAAGUUAUCUAGGAAGUUGUUAUACAUGCAUGUGUUAGUGGCAUAAGAAUAGGUAGUGGCUUAGUUGGUUAGUGGAGCAGGUCGUGUGCGCAAGAUCCGGGCAUGUUGGCCGGGCACCGUGUGCGAGCUAGCUACUUAAAACGUUGUAAUCCAGUUUAUUAACAAAGGUGAAAAGUGUGAAGAAAACUUGUGGCUGUGUGACACAGCGCAAGGUCAAAAAAUCCUUUGUAUCUCGUCUGAUUUGUGAGACGCAGUAGAGGGAGGGGGGUUUCAGGGAGUUGAGAGAAUCAGCUCCAACAUUCAAGAGAAGGCUGUGCCAAC
This 1898-nucleotide long non-coding RNA is filed under the name Hordeum vulgare. Its description in RNAcentral is "long non-coding RNA (HVUL_LNC021146)". Lineage: Eukaryota; Viridiplantae; Streptophyta; Magnoliopsida; Poales; Poaceae. The record is from RNAcentral.